Molecule: ribosomal RNA, 300 nt
Filed under: uncultured bacterium
Lineage: Bacteria
Description: partial 16S ribosomal RNA
Rfam family: Bacterial small subunit ribosomal RNA
Source: RNAcentral
UGGGGAAUAUUGGACAAUGGGGGCAACCCUGAUCCAGCAAUGCCGCGUGUGUGAAGAAGGUCUUCGGAUUGUAAAGCACUUUCGACGGGGACGAUGAUGACGGUACCCGUAGAAGAAGCCCCGGCUAACUUCGUGCCAGCAGCCGCGGUAAUACGAAGGGGGCUAUCGUUGCUCGGAAUGACUGGGCGUAAAGGGCGUGUAGGCGGUUUACACAGUCAGAUGUGAAAUCCCCGGGCUUAACCUGGGAGCUGCAUUUGAUACGUGUAGACUAGAGUGUGAGAGAGGGUUGUGGAAUUCCCC